Molecule: ribosomal RNA, 465 nt
Filed under: uncultured bacterium
Lineage: Bacteria
Description: partial 16S ribosomal RNA
Rfam family: Bacterial small subunit ribosomal RNA
Source: RNAcentral
CUACGGGAGGCAGCAGUCGAGAAGCUUCGGCAAUGGACGAAAGUCUGACCGAGCGACGCCGCGUGAGCGAUGAAGGCCCUAGUGGUCGUAAAGCUCUGUCAGGAGGGAAUAGAUACCUGUGGCUAAUACCCGCAGGGGCUGAAGGUACCUCCAGAGGAAGCACCGGAUAACUACGUGCCAGCAGCCGCGGUAAUACGUAGGGUGCAAACGUUGUUCGGAUUCACUGGGUAUAAAGGGUUCGUAGGCGGACCUAUAAGUCAGAGGUGAAAGCCAACGGCUCAACCGUUGAACUGCCUCUGAUACUGUAGGUCUUGAGUCCGUUAGGGGAUGGCGGAAUUCCUGGUGUAGCGGUGAAAUGCGUAAAUAUCAGGAGGAACACCGGUGGCGAAGGCGACCAUCUGGGACGGAACUGACGCUGAGGAACGAAAGCUAGGGUAUCAAACGGGAUUAGAUACCCUAGUAGUC